AUACGGAGGGGGUUAGCGUUGUUCGGAAUUACUGGGCGUAAAGCGCACGUAGGCGGACUGGAAAGUUGGGGGUGAAAUCCCGGGGCUCAACCCCGGAACUGCCUCCAAAACUUCCAAUCUAGAGAUCGAGAGAGGUGAGUGGAAUUCCAAGUGUAGAGGUGAAAUUCGUAGAUAUUUGGAGGAACACCAGUGGCGAAGGCGGCUCACUGGCUCGAUACUGACGCUGAGGUGCGAAAGCGUGGGGAGCAAACCGGAUUAGAAACCCCAGUAGUCC
RNAcentral lists this ribosomal RNA (274 nucleotides) under uncultured bacterium. RNAcentral describes it as "partial 16S ribosomal RNA". It matches the Rfam family "Bacterial small subunit ribosomal RNA", at positions 523 to 796 of the family's 1533-position model. The record is from RNAcentral.